Long non-coding RNA from Ictalurus punctatus (channel catfish), 342 nucleotides. Lineage: Eukaryota; Metazoa; Chordata; Actinopteri; Siluriformes; Ictaluridae. The record is from Ensembl.
CAUACACACACACACACACACACACACACACACACACACACACACACACACACACACACACACACCGACAGUUGCAGGCAAAAUCUUAGGACUUGAUUCGUAAACAUCAAUUUGCAGAUCACCGCUCGUAGAAGCAGCAGCGGGGUCAGAGCGAAAGUGUUCACCUGGCUGAAAGAACAGAGGGACACACACAUCCAUCAGCAGAGCAAUACACACUUCCUGUUUGAGGUGAAGACAAGGUUGAGGUCCGGUUAGUCCUUUAGACUCUGGCAUAAAGCCAAAUGAUUAUUAUUGACGUUGUUCUAAGAAAAAUAAUGACGCGUUUUUGGAGAAUGCUGGGGG